AAAGAUCUGCUUCUAAGCAGAUUCAGGGUUGCAGAACUUGUAUUUUUGCACUCGUUAUUCCAUUAUGUUCACGUGGCUGUUGUUAAAUCUGCUGGCUUUACUAAUUAUCCAAAUCUCACAGAAUACGUAAACACAUAUCAGUCCUUCCAGAAGCUGCCACCAACUGCGUGACAACCUGAGCAAAACUGUCAGGUGACUGAUGAGUAGCACAGCUCUCCAAUGAGCAAUGGAAAUAAACCUGGAAGGGAAUCCUUUUUUAUUUGCAGGUGGUCGGUUUAUGCUGUGGCACAUCACUGAAGGCAGAAUCUGUGGACUGUCCAGAUGUGCCACAGAAGGUGAUGAUUGUUCAUGUAAGAGCAGGUUGAGUGACCACUAGAGGACAGUGUGCUCAAAACCAUGAGCUGGGUGCACAGGGGAGGCGUUGAGAAACAUGCCUGCUUUCCUAAGUGAUGCCAAUGCAAAGAAACAAUGGAUUUAUGGAGUGCUAGAUGCAGGAAACUUGCUGCAUAAUGCCUUUUUCCUAGCUAGAAAAAUAAAUAGCCUUUACCAGGUUUGAUAUGCCUGGAUACUUAAAUUUGUAAGUGAUUAGGUAUGAGACAUCAGCUGCUGUGUGGUGGUAAUUCGCCCAAGGUUUGUGUUGACACACAAGUCUAAAUACCUGGGAGACUUCUGAGUGAAGUAUAACCUUAAUAUGUUCUGGAAGGUAUUGUAUAAACUUGGAUUUAUAGGGUCAUUGAGAGGGGGUGGCUGGCAAAAAUAACCACAUCAAACUACGAAACAACAACAACCCUUUUACUCCAAGUGCUCAAGUGACAAAGUGGCACUGGAACAAGUUGCCCAAGGAGGCUGUGGAUGUCCCCUCCAUGGAGGCAUUUAAGGCCAGGCUGGAUGUGGCACUGGGCAGCCUGGGCUGGUGGUUGGUGGCCCUGCAUAUGGUGGGGGGGCUGAAACCAGACGAUCAUUAUGAUCCUUUUCAACCCAGGCCAUUCUAUGAUUCACCCCUCAGUUGCCCCUUUGUUUUUCUAAAGCCCCAGCGUUUCUCUGAGUUACAUCUUUGUAAUCUGAAACUGCAUUAACUAUGAAGUCUUUGGUUUAGUAUCUGAUUAAUUUCCUAUAGCGUGACAAAAUGCAUCCAGUCAGGGGAUCUUUGGUCUUUAUUUCCAGGUUAUUUAUCUGUAUUAGUCUCCCUUUUAAAUUCUCUUAUCAGUAGCGUUCAAAGUUCCCAGGAGUGAUGGGAAAUAACACCAGAUGUUAUACAUACAUGCAGUAACUGUCCCCAAAGUUGUACUGUGUGCUAUGUUUAACAGAGGCUAUUUGAUAUGAUGCCAGCCUUAGUUUGCAGUCUGGGCUAAAGCUGAAGUUUGGGCUUAAAAGCUUGACUUCAGGCUGUCAGAAUCCCAGUGAUCUUUUUUUGGUCAUUGUCCAUAAAGAUGCAUUGUGUGGGUUUUUAGAUAAACACCUACAGAGUUAACCUGCUGUUUGAGAUAAGUAACAAGGCAAGAAUAAAUAACUACAAAUUAGGACUUAAUAUUUCAACGCUGCAAUUAAAGAGGGGUGGGAACAGCCUGAUCUGCAGCGAUGUACAUAAUGGCAGAGAGGGUGGGCGGUUGGACUGUCAAACUGCCUUAAUUUAAUUGCAAACACAUGCUGAUGAGUCCCCUCCUCCUGGACCUCAGGGCUGGGAAACUUUCUUUUUUGUGUUUGUGUGUGUGUGUCAGCUCCCUGCAGCUCAGAAUUGAGGAAAAUCCACUGCAGCGAACACCAUGCAGAUCAAAUCUUCAGCUCUUCUGGGCUUUUUGUGUUUUCUCCUCCUGCCUCGUUCCUCCUGUCCAUGUCCUCCUCGCUGCCUGUGCUUCAGGACUACAGUAAGAUGCAUGCAUCUGAUGUUGGAAACCAUCCCUGACAUCCCACCUCAGACCAGCAUACUAGAUUUACGCUUCAACCACAUCAGGGAGAUACAACCUGGGGCCUUCAGGAGGCUGAAGAACCUCAGCACGCUGCUGCUGAACAAUAAUCAGAUAAAGCAUAUCGUGAGAAGAUCCUUUGAAGAUCUGGAGAACCUGAAGUACCUCUACCUUUAUAAAAACGAAAUUCAGAGCAUCCAGCAACAUGCCUUCCAUGGGCUGCACUCCCUGGAGCAGCUCUACCUGCACUUCAACAACCUGGAAACGCUGGAGCCAGAGACGUUCAGUGACCUACCCAAACUUGAAAGGCUAUUCUUGCACAACAACAAAAUUUCCAGGAUUCAUCCAGGGACAUUCUCUCAACUGGAAUCCCUCAAACGACUGAGGCUGGAUUCCAAUGCACUGCUCUGCGACUGCGACCUGCUGUGGCUGGCUGAGCUGCUACAGAAAUACGCUGAGCUGGGCAGCAUCCAAACUGCAGCCACCUGCGAGGCCCCACGGGAGCUGCACGGCCGCUCCAUCGUCACCCUGACUGCCCAGGAGUUCAACUGUGAGAGGCCUCGCAUCACCUCGGAGCCCCAUGACGUCGAUGUCCUCUUGGGAAACACGGUUUAUUUCACGUGCAGGGCAGAAGGCAACCCAAAGCCUGCCAUUAUUUGGCUCCACAACAAUAAUAAGAUUGACAUGAAAGAUGACAACCGCUUGAAUCUGCUGCAAGAUGGCACCCUGAUGAUCCAGAAUACCAAGGAGUCAGACAAAGGCGUCUACCAGUGCAUGGCCAAGAACAUCGCUGGGGAGGUCAAGACCCAAGAAGUUGUUCUGCGCUAUUUUGGCACCCCAUCCAAGCCCACUUUUGUGAUCCAGCCGCAAAACACUGAAGUGCUGGUUGGGGAAAGCGUCACCUUGGAGUGCGGGGUCUCUGGGCACCCCCACCCUCGCAUCAGCUGGACACUUGGCACAGGCUCUCCUUUACCGCAGGAUCCCCGCUUCGCUAUCACCAGCUCUGGAGGACUCUUCAUCCAGAAUGUCACCUUCUCAGACCAAGGGCAGUACAACUGUAAUGCCAGCAACACUGAGGGAUCCAUCCAGGCAACAGCGAGGAUCAUAGUGCAAGAUUCUCCCAGGUUUCUUGUCAUCCCCACUGAUCAGACAGUAACUGAGGGACAAAGUGUGGAUUUCCCAUGCUCUGCUGAGGGUCACCCCCCACCUGUGAUUGCCUGGACGAGAGCAGGGGGACCGCUGCCAAGCGACCGGAGGCACAGCAUCCUCUCCACAGGGACCCUGCGAGUGAUGAGGGUGGCCCUGCACGACCAAGGGCAGUAUGAGUGCCACGCCAUCAGUGCCAUUGGUGUGAGGACCCUGCCUGUGCAGCUGGCCGUGACCCCACGGGUGAUUCCUGUGUUCCUUCACCCCCCACAAGAUGUGGUGGCAGAGACAGGCCAGGACGUGGCAAUCACCUGCGCUGCCCAGGGGGACCCACGACCCACCAUCACCUGGGUGAAGGAGGGGAUUCAGAUCACAGAGAGCGGCAAGUUCCACGUGAGCCAGGACGGGACCCUCUCCAUCCAGGAUCUUGGUGUGGCUGACCAAGGCAGAUAUGAGUGUAUAGCACGGAACCCCUUUGGCUUCACCUCCAGCGCCAUGCAGCUCACCAUCACCGCCACGGAUGUCGGUCGGAGUGGUGACACAUUCGUAGCCACAUCCCUGCGGGAAGCCAUCAGCAGUGUGGACCAUGCCAUCAAUUCAACACGCACUGAGCUAUUCAGCAGACGCCCCAAGACACCCAACGACCUGCUGGCCCUCUUCCGCUACCCACGGGAUCCUUACACCAUUGAAACAGCCAGGGCGGGUGAGAUCUUUGAAAGGACUUUGCAGCUGAUUCAGGAGCACGUGCAGCAAGGUUUGAUUGUGGAUAUGAAUGUCACAGGUUAUCGUUACAACGAUUUGGUGUCUCCUCACUACCUGAACAUGAUUGCCAACCUGUCUGGCUGUUCUGCUCACCGCCGCACACCCAACUGCUCUGAUAUCUGCUUCCACAAGAAAUACAGGACCCACGAUGGCUCCUGCAACAACCUGCAGCACCCGAUGUGGGGAGCUUCUCUCACUGCCUUCCAGAGGCUCCUCAAACCUGCUUACCAGAAUGGAUUUAACCUCCCACGGGGGUUUUCCUUGGCAGAAGAUGCCAGGGAUCUGCCCCUUCCCUUACCCCGGCUUGUCUCCACCGCUAUGGUCGGGACUGAGACCAUCACCCCAGAUGAGCAGUUCACACAUAUGCUCAUGCAGUGGGGCCAGUUUCUGGACCAUGACAUGGACCAGACGGUGGCAGCCAUCAGCAUGUCCCGUUUCUCAGAUGGAGCGCCCUGCAGCCAGGUAUGCAGCAAUGACCCACCCUGCUUCUCCGUCAUGAUCCCUGCCAACGACCCACGCGUCAGGAAUGGACGCUGCAUGUUCUUUGUGCGCUCCAGCCCCGUGUGUGGCAGCGGGAUGACCUCCCUGCUGAUGAACUCUGUCUAUGCCAGAGAGCAGAUCAAUCACUUGACCUCUUACAUUGAUGCUUCCAAUGUGUAUGGCAGCACCGAGCAGGAAUCACGUGAGCUGCGGGAUUUGAGCAACCAGAAUGGGUUGCUGAAGCGAGGGAGGAUGGUGCCCAGCUCAGGGAAGCACCUCCUGCCCUUCGCUGUGGGGCCUCCCACUGAAUGUAUGAGGGACGAGAAUGAGAGUCCUGUGCCAUGCUUUCUGGCUGGAGAUCACCGUGCCAAUGAGCAGCUAGGGCUCACGGCCAUGCACACACUGUGGUUCAGGGAGCACAACCGUGUUGCUGCUGAGCUGUCUGUCCUCAAUCCCCAUUGGGAUGGGGACCUCCUGUACCACGAGGCGCGGAAGAUCGUGGGUGCCCAGAUGCAGCACAUCACUUAUGCCCACUGGCUCCCUAAGAUCCUUGGGGAAGCAGGGAUGAAGAUGCUGGGUGAGUACAAAGGCUAUGACCCCAACGUCAAUGCGGGGAUUCUCAACGCUUUCGCCACUGCUGCCUUCCGCUUUGGGCACACUUUGAUCAACCCCAUCCUGUACCGGCUGAACGAAACCUUCCAGCCCAUCCGCCAGGGCCACGUCCCCCUGCACAAGGCCUUCUUCUCCCCUUUCAGGAUCACGCAGGAGGGUGGGAUUGAUCCACUCCUCCGUGGGCUCUUUGGGGUUCCUGGGAAAAUGCGGGUCCCCUCGGAACUCCUCAACAUGGAGCUGACAGAGAAGCUCUUCUCCAUGGCACACUCUGUAUCCCUGGACUUGGCUGCUAUCAAUAUCCAGAGAGGGCGAGACCAUGGCAUCCCACCUUACAAUGACUUCAGGGUCUUCUGCAACCUCUCAUCUGCACAAGAGUUUGAGGACCUCAGAAAUGAGAUAAAGAACUUGGAGAUCAGGGAAAAGCUCAGGAGCUUAUAUGGAACUACCAAAAAUAUUGACCUGUUUCCAGCCCUGAUGGUGGAAGAUCUUGUCCCUGGUACCAGAGUUGGACCAACGCUGAUGUGCCUGUUAACAACACAGUUCAGAAAGCUGAGGGAUGGAGAUAGAUUUUGGUACGAGAACCCAGGAGUAUUCACGCCAGCACAGCUGACUCAGCUCAGACAGACAUCCCUUGCUCGUAUCAUCUGUGACAACAGCGACCACAUCCAGCAGCUCCAGAGGGACGUCUUCCGUGUGGCAUCGUACCCACAGGGCAUGGUGGGCUGCGAGGAGAUCCCUGCUGUGGAUCUCCGCUUCUGGCAGGACUGCUGCGAGGACUGCCAAACACGUGGACAAUUCAGGGCUCUUUCUCAGCGGUUCCGAAGCAAGAGGUCUCCUGGAUUCAGCUACCCUGAGGAAAACCCUGCCAAGCACAAGCCUGCCUCCCCCAGCAAUGAGGCGCCUUCUCCAAGCUCUUCUUCCAGAGAGAAUCUCGAGUCCCUUGUGGCUGAACUGGAGAAGGCAGUCACUUCCCUACGGAAACAGGUGCACGUACUAGAGAGCCAGCUGAGGUGGCACCAUGGGAACACCAGCACAUAUGGACAGGGAAAGAAGACUGAGGACAAAUGGAGGAAAAGUUGACCAUAUUGCCUCCUCAUAUGAGGUCAGUGUGUUUGUUCUGGGCUAGGGUCCUGUAGGUGGCUCAGUGCUUGUGGAGGGACACCUGAACAGCCUUCAUAUACAGAAAAGACUUGCAGUAAGGAAUGGAGCAAUCCAGUGAUGACUGGGACGAGGUAAUAGGCUUAGGCUUAAAUGCAGCAGGUUAGACACCAUUUCUAACAGUAAUGAUUAGUGACUCACUGGAAUGAGUUGUCUGGGGACCUUGUGGCAUAUCCAUAUCUGGAGGUCUUUUAAGAACUGGUUUGGCAAAGAUGGGGAAAGACAUAAGUAUAGGACUUAUGUGGACUGGGUGAGGUGUCUGAGAUUUAUUCUCCAAGGACCGUGGAUAGAUUUCUUCUAGCAACACCUAAUGCCACAACCCCAAACCCAACAGCCUCCAGAGGACCUUUGUGGGGAGAGAUAGCACAAAGUGCAGUGACGGAGCAGAUGGACUGGUUCCUCCUUAAGGUGUCUGGUGAUCUGCACUCUUGCUCUCCAUCAGCCAGUCCAACCCACUCUUUGAGGGUUCCAAGCAACCCAUGAGCCCCCACGAUGCUCUGCCACCUCCUGUGCCACCUCCUGUCCCAGAACAGCUGUCCUUCUGCCUGUAUUGAGCCCUGCACUGCAGCCCCUGCACCGCUCCUGCCCUUUUCAGCCUCUGAGGAUGAGCUUUGCCACCACCCUGUCCUGCUUAGAUGGUUCCAAGAUGCCACCUCCUUCCACAGCCCUCAAGAAAUGGAGGAUAAUUGAAGCUGCCUUAGAAUUCACUGUUGUGCCUUUCUCCUCUUCCCAUCCAUCCCUGAUAUCGUCUACUGACCCCUGGUCUGAAAUGUCAACUGAAGCAAUUCAUUAUGAGACAAAACCUCUCUCUCAGACGCACUGUCUUCAAGGAAACGUCUGGAAAAAUCUGUAUGCGGUUUAAAAAAGAAAAAUGGAACAAGCAUGAGAUAUUCUAAUGCUAACAGCAAGAAUCAAAAGGAACCCGAGGGCCCUGGAAAGCACCGUGUGGGCUGGGCUGGGUCCAUGCCAGCAGCAGUGAGCAGGAUCUGGAGCCUGGGGAAGUCUUGUAGCUGCUUGGGUGCUUCAGGACAGGCUGUGGCAGCCCACCGUGCUGCUGCCUGCUGCCGUGCUUUGCCACCUGACUGGUCACGGGUGGCACAUCCUCAGUGCUGUAACCCUAUGAGUGACCUCCCAUUGCAUUCCUGGUGCUGAAAAACAUUUUCCUCGACACAAGCUGCAUUCUCCAGGGUUCUGCCCUUCUGAGGUUUUAAUUGGAUUUAUGUUUCCCUUCCUUUUUUGUUGUGUUUUGUUUUUAAAUUCCCAAUGGCUCUUCACUGGAAGACGUGUUUUGAGUGUAAAUUUAACAGGACCUGGAACAGAACCUCUGAUGAUUAGAUGUAAUGGGUGCUCUCAUUAGUGAGGGGGAGCUGCUGGUUUCUGUCAAUUAGUACUGGAGAACACGAUGUGCAGUAUUUGACACACUGAUGAACGCGAAGUGCUGCUUGUGUUUAUUGCUCCUAGGUGCUCUGCAACUAAACCAGGACUGUGCAACCAGCUCUCCUGAGCAGGUCUUCUGGUUUCCUUGCUCUUUGGAGGUGCUUUUUAGCGGUGCUAGAACUGAGGUCUCUGUGCAUCCACCACAGCCGCUUAUCUGUGGGCAGAUUGGUUCUUAAUCCAUCUGCAUAAGCCAAGCACAGGGGCCGAGAGAAGAUACUUGAUCUGUUUGAUAGCCGUGCCUUAUCUUUUACACUUUUCCUGUGUCUUCCCACCUGCCUUCCCCAUUGCAAGGACCCACAUCUUUUAUGAACAUGCUUUCCCUCGUCUUCUCCUCUUUGUUUAGGUGUGUGAUAGUACCAAAGGGAUUCAAGGCAGCAGAGAUGCUCCUGAAACUUAAUAGGAAAAUAAAAAAGAUAGGAGAGAAAAAAAGAUUGUGAUUUCUCAGCUGUUUUCCUGGUGUGGGACUCCGAGCUGUGUGUGCGUGUCCUGUGCAGACAGAGGCUGCAGUGAUGAGUGUGUGUUAUUGACUGUCUGGUAAGCUCAGAGGCAGCAUUUAGUCCUCGGGGAUGUUUGUCACGUUGAAGUACUCUUUCAUUUAGGUGCAAAUCAGGGUCCAAAGCCUUGCGUGUUUUAUAUCAGCUGCACUCGUCUCUUGCUUGUACCACCAGAGAAUCUAAUCUGGCACAGGUCAACAAAGGUAAAUCAGUCUCCAGUCUCCUUCUGCAAACCACAAGUUUACCAAGUCCCCAUUCAAAGCAGCGAGACAUAAAUGGUUGGUGCUUGAUCUAAUCAGAUAAUCUCUUUAAAUGCAUAAGCGAGCUGAGCAUCUCCUUCCCCACAGAGCAUGACAUGCAGUGCAGCCUUGUCACCCCACCUGCUGCAAACCCUGAGCUCCAUCCUCCGUUCUUCUCCUAGGGCUGAGGUGGGAAGAGUGUGCGGAAAUUAAACAUCAAUGCAUGCCCCCAACCAGCCAAGCUGUGUGCUGUGAGUGGGGGAAGGUCUGGAGGAGUUGCCCAUAGAUCCAGGUGCUAUCUUGUGAAGAAUGUUUUGCUGAAGACUUGCUUUUUUCUACAUCCCCUCUGUGCAGCAAGGUGAGGCCACUGCAGUGAAUUAAUGCAUUCAUUUGUCUUAGAGAACCUCUUUGAAAACCCAUCUGCAAGCCCAAAAUGAACUCCCCCCCCAGCCAUGACAGCAGGGGAGGAUUGAAAUAACAAGCUCAAGGCUGGGAGCAGAGUUCCUGGGGGAGCUGCUAUAGCCAAGCACUGCCAGGCACAGACCUCCCACUAAUUAGAUGGAACAGUUAAGUGACAAAACCCAUGU
Non-coding RNA from Coturnix japonica (Japanese quail), 8819 nucleotides. Lineage: Eukaryota; Metazoa; Chordata; Aves; Galliformes; Phasianidae. The record is from RefSeq and is a predicted model, not a curated record.